GGUGACUCAGUGGUAGAGUGCUUGCCUUGCAUGCAUGAGACCCUGGGUUCUAAUCCUCUGCACCA
RNAcentral lists this transfer RNA (65 nucleotides) under Dipodomys ordii (Ord's kangaroo rat). It matches the Rfam family "tRNA". From Rfam's summary of the family: Transfer RNA (tRNA) molecules are approximately 80 nucleotides in length. Their secondary structure includes four short double-helical elements and three loops (D, anti-codon, and T loops). Further hydrogen bonds mediate the characteristic L-shaped molecular structure. tRNAs have two regions of fundamental functional importance: the anti-codon, which is responsible for specific mRNA codon recognition, and the 3' end, to which the tRNAs corresponding amino acid is attached (by aminoacyl-tRNA synthetases). tRNAs cope with the degeneracy of the genetic code in two manners: having more than one tRNA (with a specific anti-codon) for a particular amino acid; and 'wobble' base-pairing, i.e. permitting non-standard base-pairing at the 3rd anti-codon position. Lineage: Eukaryota; Metazoa; Chordata; Mammalia; Rodentia; Heteromyidae. The record is from Rfam by way of RNAcentral.